Molecule: long non-coding RNA, 2186 nt
Organism: Bactrocera neohumeralis
Lineage: Eukaryota; Metazoa; Arthropoda; Insecta; Diptera; Tephritidae
Exons: 3
Source: RefSeq, a predicted model, not a curated record
GCAUAUUAAUUGAAGUUUUUAUUUCGAUAAGGUCGUCAUGAUCUGGUGUACCAGUUAUAAAUUAAAGUACAGAACCAAGAAAGUUAAGAGAUCUUUUGGGCCUAUAGAUAUUUGGCAUAAGUUGAUUUUUUAAUGUUUCCAUUUUAUUAAUUAAUAUUUUUGUUUCGGGCUGUUUUUCUAAAUUAUAAGAAGAUCUCAUUAUGUCUUCAUAGGGCGCAAGUAUUUUUGAUAAAUUUUAAAUCUGAUAUAGAAAGGAACUAUUUUUAUAUAUGUAUACGGGGUCAGUUUCUACGAGAAUAUAUUUUUUGUUACUUAAAUCUAUUAUAUUGUCGCAUGAUGCGAUAGGGAAAAGUAAAAAGAAAAUUAUUCCGUACAGGCCUUUACUCUUAUGUUAUCCUUAUGGAUAAUCCGUCCUUUAUUAGUCGUUGCAGUCUUUCCGUUAUCAUUUUUUACAAAGUGCUUCGCGUAUUUUCUUACGUUCUUAUUACGCCUGUGCGUCUUGGAAAAUAUUACGUCACCUGGAUUAUAGUUCAGCUGCUUUCGAUUGCGAUUAUGAUGACGCAAGACUCUUUCCAGGUUUUGUUGUAUUCGUUCUUGGAUGUCGGGAUACCCCCUUUGAUUAUAAAACACGUCCUCGGGUUUCUCGUUAGUAACGGGAUGUAUGGUUUUGUUGUACUGCCGAACAGCUUCAAAAAUUUGGUCUUCCGGUGCUGAAUUAUUCUGCUCUGCUAAAACUUUCGCGAUUUCAAUAAUUGUACUGUGCGUACGCUCAACUUGUCCGUUUGUAGUAGAAUGGAACGCUGGCGUUUUUGUGUGCGUUAUUUGUAAUUGUAUUUUUUUGUGCACAUACAUAUGCUUGUAAAUCAUAGAUCGUUAUCAGUCAUUAAAAAUUUUGCGUUUGGGUAAAUUUGUGAAAGAAUCUCGUCGACGUAUUUGUAUGUAUCUUUCCUUGAAGAUAUUUGUCUAAAAUAGCAAAAUUUUGAGUAUCUGUCCGUUGAGCUAAUGUAUAUGUUAUCGCUCAUGUAGAAUAAGUCUAAUGCCGGUAUUCUGCUUGUCACGAUUGUCUCAUGUCUCUAAUUGAGACAAUCGUAAUUUAGUGACUCUGUUGGUCCGGAUGUCUCAUUUUGGUAUUCUGGCAGAUACAGUCUCAAAAAUAUUCACCAAAUAGUAUGGUGAAAAGAAGGGCAGCAAUCAGCUGUUUAGUUUAGCUGACUAGAGAUGAGUGCAAGUGCACAAUCGUAAUGUAUGAAACGAUUGCAUGCAAUUAGUUUUUUUCAUAAAAUUUCAGCAGUAAAACUUCUUCUUAAUAAUUGCACAGUACAAUUAUUGCAAACUAAUACUAAAAUAGUUUAUAAUAAAUGCUUAACAUAUGCAUUUUAUCUGUAUCAAUUGUUAAGUAAAUAUGAAAAAAUUUAACAACACAGUUAUCGAUUAACACAUGUGUUCAUCCUUAUAUUUGAUAAUAAUGGAAAAGGAAGGUAAGUAAUUGUAAACAAUAAAAAUUUCAUUAUUUUAAGAUUGUUAUAGUAUAUGUAUAAUUUAUCUUUUUUAGAGAUCAUAAUAAAGUGCACCUCGAAGGAGCAAAUAGAGUGCUAUCUCAACUUUGUGCGGGUUCACCCGGAUAAAGUUGCAUAAAAACGACCCAUCGCGGUCGAAAAGAAUGGAGGAGCUUUGGGCUGAACUCUCCGUGCAAUUAAAUGCCCUAAAAGGGCCCACCCGGAACCCCAUACAAUGGAGAGAGAAUCUGAGCCACUGGAAAAACCAAAUAAGGUCACGUGCAAGGAAAGUCAAGGCGCACAAGCUGGUGACGGGUGGCGGACCCAGCUAAACAAGUGAGCUCUCUGAAACGGAGCAGAGAGCGUUAGAAACGUUAGGGUCAAUUGCGGUUAAUGGGUUGACUGAUGUACCAGCCAUUGGCACAGAGGAAGAAGUAGUUUUCACAGCUGCACCAUCACCCCUAAAUACGACUUCGUAUGCGUCCAAUGAUUGCACUCCGUCAUCGUCCCGUAGUAAAAAAAUUACGACGGACGAAAUGUUCCGAAAUUAUAUGGAUUUAAUGAAAGGAAAAGCCGAGGAGGAGAGAGCUUUCCGGAUUCAAACUUUAGAUUCCAUUAAUAAACAUACGGAAUCCAUUAAUAACUUAGCGGCAGCGAUGGUAUCGCUUGCUCAGACCAUCGUAAAAAAUA